AGUAAAGUAAGCUAAAGAAAGCUUUCGGGCCCAUACCCCGAAUAUGUUGGUUAAAGUCCUUCCUUUACUG
Molecule: transfer RNA, 70 nt
Filed under: Muraenesox cinereus (daggertooth pike conger)
Lineage: Eukaryota; Metazoa; Chordata; Actinopteri; Anguilliformes; Muraenesocidae
Description: tRNA-Met
Rfam family: tRNA
About the family: Transfer RNA (tRNA) molecules are approximately 80 nucleotides in length. Their secondary structure includes four short double-helical elements and three loops (D, anti-codon, and T loops).
Source: RNAcentral